Molecule: ribosomal RNA, 183 nt
Filed under: Monascella botryosa
Lineage: Eukaryota; Fungi; Ascomycota; Pezizomycetes; Pezizales; Pyronemataceae
Description: 5.8S rRNA
Rfam family: 5.8S ribosomal RNA (bases 1-159)
About the family: 5.8S ribosomal RNA (5.8S rRNA) is a component of the large subunit of the eukaryotic ribosome. It is transcribed by RNA polymerase I as part of the 45S precursor that also contains 18S and 28S rRNA.
Source: RNAcentral
AACUUUCAACAACGGAUCUCUUGGUUCUCGCAUCGAUGAAGAACGGCAGGCGAAAUGCGAUAAGUAGUGUGAAUUGCAGAAUUCAGUGAAUCAUCGAAUCUUUUGAACGCACAUUGCGCCUUCGGGACUUGUUCCGGAGGCAUGCCUGUUCGAGCGUCAUUAAAAACCACUCAAGCUGCUUUU